This 253-nucleotide ribosomal RNA is filed under the name uncultured bacterium. RNAcentral's name for it is "partial 16S ribosomal RNA". It matches the Rfam family "Bacterial small subunit ribosomal RNA", at positions 524 to 776 of the family's 1533-position model. The record is from RNAcentral.
GACAGAGGGUGCAAACGUUGUUCGGAAUUACUGGGCGUAAAGCGCGUGUAGGCGGCUGCGCAAGUCGGGUGUGAAAGCCCUGGGCUCAACCCAGGAAGUGCACUCGAUACUACUCAGCUAGAGUAUGGGAGAGGGUAGUGGAAUUCCCGGUGUAGCGGUGAAAUGCGUAGAUAUCGCUUGGAACGCCGGCGGCGAAAGCGGGUGACUGGGAGUCUUCUGACGCUGAGACACGAAAGCCAGGGGAGCGAACGGG